GGUUAAGCGACUAAGCGUACACGGUGGAUGCCCUGGCAGUCAGAGGCGAUGAAGGACGUGCUAAUCUGCGAUAAGCGCUGGUAAGGUGAUAUGAACCGUUAUAACCGGCGAUUUCCGAAUGGGGAAACCCAGUGUGAUUCGUCACACUAUCAUUAACUGAAUCCAUAGGUUAAUGAGGCGAACCGGGGGAACUGAAACAUCUAAGUACCCCGAGGAAAAGAAAUCAACCGAGAUUCCCCCAGUAGCGGCGAGCGAACGGGGAGGAGCCCAGAGCCUGAAUCAGCAUGUGUGUUAGUGGAAGCGUCUGGAAAGGCGCGCGAUACAGGGUGACAGCCCCGUACACAAAAGCGCAUGUGCUGUGAGCUCGAUGAGUAGGGCGGGACACGUGGUAUCCUGUCUGAAUAUGGGGGGACCAUCCUCCAAGGCUAAAUACUCCUGACUGACCGAUAGUGAACCAGUACCGUGAGGGAAAGGCGAAAAGAACCCCGGCGAGGGGAGUGAAAAAGAACCUGAAACCGUGUACGUACAAGCAGUGGGAGCACAGGUUUACCUGUGUGACUGCGUACCUUUUGUAUAAUGGGUCAGCGACUUAUAUUCUGUAGCAAGGUUAACCGUAUAGGGGAGCCGUAGGGAAACCGAGUCUUAACCGGGCGUUAAGUUGCAGGGUAUAGACCCGAAACCCGGUGAUCUAGCCAUGGGCAGGUUGAAGGUUGGGUAACACUAACUGGAGGACCGAACCGACUAAUGUUGAAAAAUUAGCGGAUGACCUGUGGCUGGGGGUGAAAGGCCAAUCAAACCGGGAGAUAGCUGGUUCUCCCCGAAAGCUAUUUAGGUAGCGCCUCGUGAAUUCAUCUCCGGGGGUAGAGCACUGUUUCGGCUAGGGGGCCAUCCCGGCUUACCAACCCGAUGCAAACUGCGAAUACCGGAGAAUGUUAUCACGGGAGACACACGGCGGGUGCUAACGUCCGUCGUGAAGAGGGAAACAACCCAGACCGCCAGCUAAGGUCCCAAAGUCAUGGUUAAGUGGGAAACGAUGUGGGAAGGCCCAGACAGCCAGGAUGUUGGCUUAGAAGCAGCCAUCAUUUAAAGAAAGCGUAAUAGCUCACUGGUCGAGUCGGCCUGCGCGGAAGAUGUAACGGGGCUAAACCAUGCACCGAAGCUGCGGCAGCGAACGUAUCACCCAAGACAACUUUACGGAGUUGACGAUUGACGGAGCGAAGCGACGUCAAAGCGUUCAUUAAAGUCGAGUUGGCUUAGGGAUACGUUCGUUGGGUAGGGGAGCGUUCUGUAAGCCUGUGAAGGUGUGUCGUGAGGCAUGCUGGAGGUAUCAGAAGUGCGAAUGCUGACAUAAGUAACGAUAAAGCGGGUGAAAAGCCCGCUCGCCGGAAGACCAAGGGUUCCUGUCCAACGUUAAUCGGGGCAGGGUGAGUCGACCCCUAAGGCGAGGCCGAAAGGCGUAGUCGAUGGGAAACGGGUUAAUAUUCCCGUACUUGGUGUUACUGCGAAGGGGGGACGGAGAAGGCUAUGUUGGCCGGGCGACGGUUGUCCCGGUUUAAGCGUGUAGGUGUGUGUUCCAGGUAAAUCCGGUUCACUUUAACACUGAGGCGUGACGACGAGGCACUACGGUGCUGAAGCAACAAAUGCCCUGCUUCCAGGAAAAGCCUCUAAGCAUCAGGUAAUAUCAAAUCGUACCCCAAACCGACACAGGUGGUCAGGUAGAGAAUACCAAGGCGCUUGAGAGAACUCGGGUGAAGGAACUAGGCAAAAUGGUGCCGUAACUUCGGGAGAAGGCACGCUGACACGUAGGUGAAGUGAUUUACUCAUGGAGCUGAAGUCAGUCGAAGAUACCAGCUGGCUGCAACUGUUUAUUAAAAACACAGCACUGUGCAAACACGAAAGUGGACGUAUACGGUGUGACGCCUGCCCGGUGCCGGAAGGUUAAUUGAUGGGGUCAGCGCAAGCGAAGCUCCUGAUCGAAGCCCCGGUAAACGGCGGCCGUAACUAUAACGGUCCUAAGGUAGCGAAAUUCCUUGUCGGGUAAGUUCCGACCUGCACGAAUGGCGUAAUGAUGGCCAGGCUGUCUCCACCCGAGACUCAGUGAAAUUGAACUCGCUGUGAAGAUGCAGUGUACCCGCGGCAAGACGGAAAGACCCCGUGAACCUUUACUAUAGCUUGACACUGAACAUUGAGCCUUGAUGUGUAGGAUAGGUGGGAGGCUUUGAAGUGUGGACGCCAGUCUGCAUGGAGCCGACCUUGAAAUACCACCCUUUAAUGUUUGAUGUUCUAACGUGGACCCGUAAUCCGGGUUGCGGACAGUGUCUGGUGGGUAGUUUGACUGGGGCGGUCUCCUCCUAAAGAGUAACGGAGGAGCACGAAGGUUGGCUAAUCCUGGUCGGACAUCAGGAGGUUAGUGCAAUGGCAUAAGCCAGCUUGACUGCGAGCGUGACGGCGCGAGCAGGUGCGAAAGCAGGUCAUAGUGAUCCGGUGGUUCUGAAUGGAAGGGCCAUCGCUCAACGGAUAAAAGGUACUCCGGGGAUAACAGGCUGAUACCGCCCAAGAGUUCAUAUCGACGGCGGUGUUUGGCACCUCGAUGUCGGCUCAUCACAUCCUGGGGCUGAAGUAGGUCCCAAGGGUAUGGCUGUUCGCCAUUUAAAGUGGUACGCGAGCUGGGUUUAGAACGUCGUGAGACAGUUCGGUCCCUAUCUGCCGUGGGCGCUGGAGAACUGAGGGGGGCUGCUCCUAGUACGAGAGGACCGGAGUGGACGCAUCACUGGUGUUCGGGUUGUCAUGCCAAUGGCACUGCCCGGUAGCUAAAUGCGGAAGAGAUAAGUGCUGAAAGCAUCUAAGCACGAAACUUGCCCCGAGAUGAGUUCUCCCUGAGACUUAGAGUCUCCUGAAGGAACGUUGAAGACGACGACGUUGAUAGGCCGGGUGUGUAAGCGCAGCGAUGCGUUGAGCUAACCGGUACUAAUGAACCGUGAGGCUUAACCUU
Molecule: ribosomal RNA, 2992 nt
Filed under: Salmonella enterica subsp. enterica serovar Typhimurium str. T000240
Lineage: Bacteria; Pseudomonadati; Pseudomonadota; Gammaproteobacteria; Enterobacterales; Enterobacteriaceae
Description: bacterial LSU rRNA
Rfam family: Bacterial large subunit ribosomal RNA
Source: RNAcentral